CUGAUUGUUAACACCGGGGAUGAACAACUUUUGUCACGUGACCGCAAAAGUCAACGCCGGUUGCAGAAACAGAUUGUAAUCUUGUACAUUAAGAAACAUGACGCUCGUGUGUGAAAUCUGUGGAAAGACAUUUAAAUCGAAGUGGGGGUUAAAGCUUCAUGAUAAGCGCCACAGAGGGACUGGACGAUUCGCCUGUUGUGGAAAAACAUUUUACACAAAACAGGCGUUCAACAGACACAGAUGCAGCAUUCAUGGUGUUGAAAAGCCGUUCCCCUGUGAACAAUGCGGCAAAAAGUUUUCAACCAAAGAUGACCUGAAUCGUCACGUCCGGAGGGAGGUUGCUGCAAAGCAAUUUACCUGCUCAAUUUGCAAUGCAACGCUCCGGGAGAAAAUUGACCUUCAGGCCCACCUUGCCACCCACAAUGGAGAGAAAAACUUUGCUUGUGAUAUGUGUGAAAAGAGGUACAGGCACCGCAGUAGUCUAUCAAAGCACAGAUCUGCAAAGCACCGGGCCUAGUCAUCUGUUGCAUGACGAUGAUAAGACCAAGAAUUAUUUUUAAUUCUUACCAAUGUGCCGUGGUUAUUUUCUUAAUUAUUGAAAAUACAGACUGUCAUACAAUAAUAUAUAGUAUUACGCGUGUUUUUGCGUCUUAAACAUUGUGUUUCAUAUCGUUUAUCUUGUGUUGUUUUGUUUGAUAUUCCUGUUUUUAAUAAGAUUAUUGUUGUAAUAUUUAUCAUUCUAAUUUAAAAUGAUUAUGAUAAUGGUUGAUCUCAUACAAAUUAUUGUGUUCAUUAUUGCUCAUCUGUGAUUACUGUUGAUCUCAGCCCAUGAAUUGUGAUUUAUAUUGAUUAUCUGUGAUUAUUGUUGAUCUUAUCAAAAUAAUUGUAAUUUAUGUUGAUUAUCUUUGAAUUUUUUAUCUUAACCUAUUAAUAGUGAUUUAUAUUAUCUGUGAUUAUUGUUGAUCUUAUCAAAAUCAUUGUGAUUUAUGUUGAUUAUCUGUGAUUAUUGUUGAUCUCAACCGAUUAAUUGUGAUUUAUAUAACCAGUGAUUAUUGUUGAUCUUAUCAAAAUCAUUGUAAUUUAUGUUGAUUAUCUGUGAUUAUUGUUGAUCUUUUCGAAAUCAUUGUAAUUUAUGUUGAUUAUCUGUGAUUAUUGUUGAUCUUUUCGAAAUCAUUGUAAUUUAUGUUGAUUAUCUGUGAUUAUUGUUGAUCUUUUCAAAAUCAUUGUAAUUUAUGUUGAUUAUCUGUGAUUAUUGUUGAUCUCACCAUAUCCGCUGGAAUAUACAUUUGAGCCGCGCUCUGUGAAAAGGGGGUUUAAUGCAUGUGCGUAAAGUGCAGUCCACAUAGGCUAAUCAGGGACGGCACUUUCCGCUUUUAUGAUAUGUUUUGUUAAAAGAAAGUCUCUUCUGAGCAAAAAUCGAGUUUAUCGGAAAGGUUUGUCCCUAAUUAGCCUGUACGGAAUGCACAGGCUAAUAUGUGACGACACCUUACGCACAUGCAUUAAACCCCCUUUUCACAGAGCGAGACUCAUUUGUAAUCUGCGAUUUUUGUUUAUCUAUUUCGAAUCAAUAUGAUUAAAAUAUAUUUUUGGUGAGUUAGCUUUUUGUCUCAUUGGAAUCAUUGUGCGAAUUGUCAACAAUUACAUGUAAAUCUGUAAUUCCUUCUCAAGUUGCACAUAGGCCAGUUUAAUGUUUUGCGUAUAAGCUAUUAUUGCGAUACGGGAUAUUCUUUGCAGCAAUAAAACAAUUAAUCUGCA
Molecule: long non-coding RNA, 1755 nt
Organism: Dreissena polymorpha
Lineage: Eukaryota; Metazoa; Mollusca; Bivalvia; Myida; Dreissenidae
Exons: 3
Source: RefSeq, a predicted model, not a curated record